GACGAACGCUGGCGGCGUGCUUAACACAUGCAAGUCGAACGGAAAGGCCCUGCUUUUGUGGGGUGCUCGAGUGGCGAACGGGUGAGUAACACGUGAGUAACCUGCCCUUGACUUUGGGAUAACUUCAGGAAACUGGGGCUCAUACCGGAUAGGAGCUCCUGCUGCAUGGUGGGGGUUGGAAAGUUUCGGCGGUUGGGGAUGGACUCGCGGCUUAUCAGCUUGUUGGUGGGGUAGUGGCUUACCAAGGCUUUGACGGGUAGCCGGCCUGAGAGGGUGACCGGCCACAUUGGGACUGAGAUACGGCCCAGACGCCUACGGGAGGCAGCAGUGGGGAAUAUUGCACAAUGGGCGGAAGUCUGAGGCAGCAACGCCCCGUGCGGGAUGACGGCCUUCGGGUUGUAAACCGCUUUCGCCUGUGACGAAGCGUGAGUGACGGUAAUGGGUAAAGAAGCACCGGCUAACUACGUG
This 468-nucleotide ribosomal RNA is filed under the name uncultured bacterium. Its description in RNAcentral is "partial 16S ribosomal RNA". It matches the Rfam family "Bacterial small subunit ribosomal RNA", at positions 28 to 507 of the family's 1533-position model. The record is from RNAcentral.